GGUGCAGGCAGCGGGCAGUCACAGCCCUGAGGACCUGAGAGAGGACGGCACGGCACCUGCAGAACCUGGAACCUGAACUCCAGGACCUGCAGAGACCUCCAACACCUCCAGACCUGCAGAGACCUCCAACACCUCCAGACCUACAGGAUCCACAAAUCCAGACCUACAGGAUCCACAAAUCCAGACCUAUAGGAUCCCCAGAUCCAGACCUGCAGGAUGGUGUCCCUCUGCCAGAGCAGAUCCGAGUCCAGACCUUCUCCUCUGAAGCGUCUCUGCCUGUGGCUGCACCGCUCUUCAUCCCCUCCUCCUCCUCCUCCCCCUGCUCUCCCCCUGCCUGUGGCCAGUGCUCAGCCUGUGUGUGUGGUGAGUCGGCGCCCCCUGCUGGUGCUGCUGCUGCUGUGCAGUUUGCUGCUGAUGCUGCUGCUGCUGCUGUGGAACUACCACUGUCUGUUCAUCUCCCAGCUCUGCUCGCCGCCGGGGGGCGAGGAGGACGAGGAGGAGCAGGGCGACGCCCUGUGGAGACACUGAUGGACCACAUGAACCACUUCAAACAUCACAUGAGUUAAGAUAAGAUAAGAUAAGAUAAGAUAAGAUAAGAUAAGAGGCACCUUUAUUGAUCCCCUGUAGGGGAAACUGCAGUGUGCAGCGUGUGUGUGUGCACAUGCUGCUGCUUCCUGUUUAUCCACUGCCUUCAUUGCAGGUCCAGUCUGUGGCCUGCGGCUCUGCUCUAUUAAAAUCAACUUUAAUCAUAAAAAGUCAAAAUCAAAAGCAGGUCAGUGCGGCUCUGGGCUGGGAGAGUUUGUUCCUGUCCGUCGACCGACAACCAGGAAGAGCUGAUUUAUAAAGUUUGAUAUCAGCUGAGUUGAAUAAAGCAAACACAAAAUGACUGCUAAUGAAUUCUGAAUGUUACUGACGUGCUCUCUGUUCUCUGUUGGUUAGAAGCUGCAGAGUUUUGAACGAGCUGAAAUCUCUCAGGGUUUGUCUUUUCUUUUCUUUUCUUUUCUGGAGGCCUGUAGAAAGUGCAUGACAGUAAUCGACUCGGCUUGAGAUCGAGGCAUGAGUCCGUUUUUCAGCAUCUUGUUGAGGUAUAAGUGGCUGUACUUUAGCUAUGUUUCUAAGGUGGCAGAAUUAUAUUUUUUCCACCUUGAUAAUGUUUGACUUGAAGUUUCAAUGUGAAUCUAAAAUAACACCAUGACCCGGAUUAUUCAAAUUUAAUCCAGGGAGUUAUUUCCCAAGAUUUUUAAACAUUUCUCUUUCUGUUUUAGAGUUGACUAGCAGGAUUUCACUUUUGUUCUGGUUUAAGAAAUUUGACAAAUUUUUGCUCGUCCAUUUAUUUAUUGCCAAAAGACAAGCGGUGAUGGAGUCUAAAGCGGCAGCAUCGCGUGGCUCAGCUGUGACGUGCAGUCGGGUGUCACAGAAACUGACAUCACCAAGGCAGCUUGUGGAGUGAGAAUAACAGCGGGCCGAGGCAGGUGCCUUGUGGAACCCCAAACUGGCGUGGUGUUUCUCCAAGACUGACGUCAGACUGUCUCCCUUUGAAUUUUUCAGCCAGUUUCACACGCAGUCAGAAAGACCAGAAUGAAAACACACUGAGAGCUUCUUCAGUCUGAAGUCGCUGAUUAAGAGCGACUUCAGUUCUGCGGUUUGUUCUGAAGCCGGACUGAAAUUCCUCCAGAUGUUGUUUUCUUUUUAUUUGCACUGAAGCCAUCUUUUCAAUAAAACAAGUAAAACAGGGAGAGAAAUAAAACCCAGUAAAUAAGAUGGAAAAUAAAACCCACCUGAUACAAAGCUCAGUUUGUGUAAUACAGGUGAAUUUUCUCAGGGUUACGUCAUUGUUCCAGGGUUUGUUGACGUCAUCUGUCUUUACAUCAACAGUUCAAAAUCUGACAGAUUUGUCCAGAUGUGAUCUGAAAAACUUUUUUGACUUUUUGUGGAUCUUUUGACUUUGUUGGAUUUGCUCAUUUGAAUAUGUUAAUAAAAUAAAAGUCACCCUA
RNA transcript from Myripristis murdjan (pinecone soldierfish), 1994 nucleotides. It is a transcript of the gene named formin-like protein 13, with no coding region annotated. The record is from RefSeq and is a predicted model, not a curated record. NCBI's taxonomy places the organism in Eukaryota, Metazoa, Chordata, Actinopteri, Holocentriformes, Holocentridae. The transcript is spliced from 2 exons.